This is a small nucleolar RNA of Paramormyrops kingsleyae, 70 nucleotides long. The record is from Ensembl. Lineage: Eukaryota; Metazoa; Chordata; Actinopteri; Osteoglossiformes; Mormyridae.
UUUCUGUGAUGAUAAUUCUGUCCAGUUCUGCUACUGACUGCCAGCGAUGACAUCUGUGACUCUGAGGAAG